Molecule: ribosomal RNA, 301 nt
Filed under: uncultured bacterium
Lineage: Bacteria
Description: partial 16S ribosomal RNA
Rfam family: Bacterial small subunit ribosomal RNA
Source: RNAcentral
CAGUAGCCACGGUAAUACGUAGGUGGCAAGCGUCGUCCGGAAUUAUUGGGCGUAAAGGGCUCGCAGGCGGUUUCUUAAGUCUGAUGUGAAAGCCCCCGGCUCAACCGGGGAGGGUCAUUGGAAACUGGGAAACUUGAGUGCAGAAGAGGAGAGUGGAAUUCCGCGUGUAGCGGUGAAAUGCGUAGAGAUGUGGAGGAACACCAGUGGCGAAGGCGACUCUCUGGUCUGUAACUGACGCUGAGGAGCGAAAGCGUGGGGAGCGAACAGGAUUAGAUACCCCCGUAGUCCCUGUCUCUUAUAC